GCAGGCACAGCGAUAUGCACCUUUAGCCCCAGCUACUCGAGAGGCUGAGGCAGGAGGAUUGCUUGAGACCAGGAGUUCUGGGCUGCAGUGUGCUGUGCUGUCCAGGUAUCUACACCAAGUUCAGCAUCUAUAUGGUGACCUCCCAGGAGUGGGGGGAUCCCCAGGUUGCCUAAGAAGGUGUGAACUGGGCCAGGUCAGAAAGAGAGCAGCUAAAAACUCCCAAACUGAUUGAUCAGUAGUGGGAUCGUGCCUGUGAAUAGCCACUGCACUCCUGCCUAGGCAACAGAGACCCUGUCUCU
RNAcentral lists this signal recognition particle RNA (299 nucleotides) under Cebus imitator (Panamanian white-faced capuchin). RNAcentral's name for it is "Metazoan signal recognition particle RNA (ENSCCAG00000012460.1)". It matches the Rfam family "Metazoan signal recognition particle RNA". From Rfam's summary of the family: The signal recognition particle (SRP) is a universally conserved ribonucleoprotein. The record is from RNAcentral. Lineage: Eukaryota; Metazoa; Chordata; Mammalia; Primates; Cebidae.